This is a long non-coding RNA of Phragmites australis (common reed), 461 nucleotides long. RefSeq lists it as uncharacterized. The record is from RefSeq and is a predicted model, not a curated record. The transcript has 3 exons. Lineage: Eukaryota; Viridiplantae; Streptophyta; Magnoliopsida; Poales; Poaceae.
UUAUGUGGCGACCUCCAGUUGGUCCUAGGUGUUUCUUGAAGCUUGUGGCAGGGAGGCAACAAGAUGGGGAAAGCAAGCAAGAAAGAAAGACUCUUCAAGUCCUAAACUCUAUUUAAUCGUGUGCCCAUUAAAGAAUUUCAUGGUGGAUUUGCUGUACCCUAAGUUGUAUAUUUGGGUUGGUUCUUGGGGAGAAAGCAAAGCAAACGUGAAAUACUCUCGUCGUCCCUGUCCAUAUCCUGAUCCUGUUGAAGAUUUCAGCUUUGUUGGCCGGCGAAGGAGGAGGGGAAAGAGGGAAGAAGGGUUAGGCGGCGAAGGAGGACUGGCGCUAAUCGGAGGCUGCUUCGGUUUUUGCUUGCUGAAGGCAUCGGCAAGAUAAGAGGCUGGAAGUUGCAAGGAAGGUGUUUGUGGAAUUGCCUCCUCGGCAGCAGCUGUGGAGUGAGGGAACGAAGGAUGACGAUGCC